AGCGGCGACGGUAGUAACACGUGGCAACCUGCCCUUGAGCCGGGAUAACAUUUGGAAACAGAUGCUAAUACCGCAUAAUAAUCAAAGCCACAUGGUUUUGAUUUUCAAAGAUGGCUUCGGCUAUCACUCCAGGAUGGCCGCGGUGCAUUAGCUAGUUGGUAAGGUAACGGCUUACCAAGGCGAUGAUGCAUAGCCGAGUUGAGAGACUGAUCGGCCACAAUGGAACUGAGACACGGUCCAUACUCC
RNAcentral lists this ribosomal RNA (246 nucleotides) under uncultured Lactobacillus sp. RNAcentral's name for it is "partial 16S ribosomal RNA". It matches the Rfam family "Bacterial small subunit ribosomal RNA", at positions 105 to 339 of the family's 1533-position model. The record is from RNAcentral. Lineage: Bacteria; Bacillati; Bacillota; Bacilli; Lactobacillales; Lactobacillaceae.